ACAUGGUCUGAUGCAUUUUUUAGCUUGC
This 28-nucleotide small RNA is filed under the name Bombyx mori (domestic silkworm). RNAcentral describes it as "ovarian small RNA-11174". Lineage: Eukaryota; Metazoa; Arthropoda; Insecta; Lepidoptera; Bombycidae. The record is from RNAcentral.